RNAcentral lists this ribosomal RNA (397 nucleotides) under uncultured bacterium. Its description in RNAcentral is "partial 16S ribosomal RNA". It matches the Rfam family "Bacterial small subunit ribosomal RNA", at positions 523 to 918 of the family's 1533-position model. The record is from RNAcentral.
AUACGUAGGGGGCAAGCGUUAUCCGGAUUUACUGGGUGUAAAGGGAGCGUAGACGGCAUGGCAAGUCUGAUGUGAAAACCCGGGGCUCAACCCCGGGAUUGCAUUGGAAACUGUCAAGCUAGAGUGCAGGAGAGGUAAGUGGAAUUCCUAGUGUAGCGGUGAAAUGCGUAGAUAUUAGGAGGAACACCAGUGGCGAAGGCGGCUUACUGGACUGUAACUGACGUUGAGGCUCGAAAGCGUGGGGAGCAAACAGGAUUAGAUCCCCUGGUAGUCCACGCCGUAAACGAUGAAUACUAGGUGUUGGGAGGAACUAUCCUUUCGGUGCCGCAGCAAACGCAAUAAGUAUUCCACCUGGGGAGUACGUUCGCAAGAAUGAAACUCAAAGGAAUUGACGGGG